Molecule: ribosomal RNA, 374 nt
Filed under: uncultured Acidobacteriota bacterium
Lineage: Bacteria; Pseudomonadati; Acidobacteriota
Description: bacterial SSU rRNA
Rfam family: Bacterial small subunit ribosomal RNA
Source: RNAcentral
CCUUUCGACCGGGACGAUUAUGACGGUACCGGAAGAAGAAGCCCCGGCUAACUUCGUGCCAGCAGCCGCGGUAAUACGAAGGGGGCAAGCGUUGUUCGGAAUUACUGGGCGUAAAGGGCGCGUAGGCGGUGCUCCAAGUCCGGUGUGAAAUCUCCGGGCUUAACUCGGAGGCUGCACCCGAAACUGUGCUGCUGGAGUGUGGGAGAGGUGAGUGGAAUUCCGGGUGUAGCGGUGAAAUGCGUACAUAUCGGGAGGAACACCUGUGGCGAAAGCGGCUCGCUGGACCAUUACUGACGCUGAGGCGCGAAAGCUUGGGGAGCAAACAGGAUUAAAUACCCUGGUAGUCCUAGCCCUAAACGAUGAUUGCUUGGUGU